GACGAACGCUGGCGGCGUGCUUAACACAUGCAAGUCGAACGGAAAGGCCCUGCUUUUGUGGGGUGCUCGAGUGGCGAACGGGUGAGUAACGCGUGAGUAACCUGCCCUUGACUUUGGGAUAACUUCAGGAAACUGGGGCUAAUACCGGAUAGGAGCUCCUGCUGCAUGGUGGGGGUUGGAAAGUUUCGGCGGUUGGGGAUGGACUCGCGGCUUAUCAGCUUGUUGGUGGGGUAGUGGCUUACCAAGGCUUUGACGGGUAGCCGGCCUGAGAGGGUGACCGGCCACAUUGGGACUGAGAUACGGCCCAGACUCCUACGGGAGGCAGGAGUGGGGAAUAUUGCACAAUGGGCGGAAGCCUGAUGCAGCAACGCCGCGUGCGGGAUGACGGCCUUCGGGUUGUAAACCGCUUUCGCCUGUGACGAAGCGUGAGUGACGGUAAUGGGUAAAGAAGCACCGGCUAACUACGUG
RNAcentral lists this ribosomal RNA (468 nucleotides) under uncultured bacterium. RNAcentral's name for it is "partial 16S ribosomal RNA". It matches the Rfam family "Bacterial small subunit ribosomal RNA", at positions 28 to 507 of the family's 1533-position model. The record is from RNAcentral.